This 253-nucleotide ribosomal RNA is filed under the name uncultured bacterium. RNAcentral's name for it is "partial 16S ribosomal RNA". It matches the Rfam family "Bacterial small subunit ribosomal RNA", at positions 524 to 776 of the family's 1533-position model. The record is from RNAcentral.
UACAGGGGGUGCAAGCGUUGCUCGGAAUUACUGGGCGUAAAGCGUCCGCAGGUGGGCGUGUGGGUCGGGUGUGAAAGCCCAGGGCUCAACCCUGGAACUGCACUCGAAACUGCACGUCUUGAGUACGGGAGAGGAGGGCGGAAUUCCUGGUGUAGAGGUGAAAUUCGUAGAUAUCAGGAGGAACACCGGUGGCGAAAGCGGCCCUCUGGUCCGAUACUGACACUCAUGGACGAGAGCGCGGGGAGCAAACAGG